This 578-nucleotide ribosomal RNA is filed under the name uncultured bacterium. Its description in RNAcentral is "partial 16S ribosomal RNA". It matches the Rfam family "Bacterial small subunit ribosomal RNA", at positions 355 to 932 of the family's 1533-position model. The record is from RNAcentral.
CUAAGAAUAUUCCGCAAUGGACGGAAGUCUGACGGAGCGACGCCGCGUGGAUGAAGAAGGCCGAAAGGUUGUAAAGUUCUUUUGCUGGGGAAGAAUAACCGCAGGAGGGAAUGCCUGUGGGAUGACAAGAACCGGCGAAUAAGCCCCGGCCAACUACGUGCCAGCAGCCGCGGUAACACGUAGGGGGCGAGCGUUGCUCGGAAUUACUGGGCGUAAAGGGCAUGUAGGCGGCUUGGAAAGCCUGGCGUGAAAGUCUGCAGCUUAACUGCAGGGGUGCGCUGGGAACCGCUGAGCUUGAGUGACGGAGAGGGAGCUGGAAUUCCUGGUGUAGGGGUGAAAUCUGUAGAUAUCAGGAAGAACACCGAUGGCGAAGGCAAGCUCCUGGCCGAUGACUGACGCUGAGGUGCGAAAGUGUGGGGAUCAAACAGGAUUAGAUACCCUGGUAGUCCACACAGUCAACGAUGUGCACUAGGUGCUGGGGCGGUAGCUUCGGUGCCGGAGCGAACGUGGUAAGUGCACCGCCUGGGGGAGUAUGCUCGCAAGGGUGAAACUCAAAUGAAUUGACGGGGUCAUAGCUG